RNAcentral lists this ribosomal RNA (356 nucleotides) under uncultured bacterium. RNAcentral's name for it is "partial 16S ribosomal RNA". It matches the Rfam family "Bacterial small subunit ribosomal RNA", at positions 338 to 710 of the family's 1533-position model. The record is from RNAcentral.
CCUACGGGUGGCAGCAGUGGGGAAUAUUGGGAAAUGGAGGAAACUCUGACCCAGCAACGCCGCGUGAAGGAGGAAGGUUUUCGGAUUGUAAACUUCUGUUGCGAGGGAGGAAGAAUGACGGUACCGCGUGAGGAAGCACCGGCAAACUACGUGCCAGCAGCCGCGGUAAUACGGAGGGGGCAAGCGUUGUCCGGAAUGACGGGGCGUAACGGGAGUGUAGGCGGCCUUUUCAGUUCUCUGUGAAAGCCCCCGGCUUAACCGAGGAACUGCCUCUAAAACUGGCGGGCUGGAGUGCAGGAGAGGUAAGCGGAAUUUCUAGUGUAGCGGUGGAAUGCUUAGAUAUUAGGCAGAACACC